Long non-coding RNA from Jaculus jaculus (lesser Egyptian jerboa), 701 nucleotides. RefSeq lists it as uncharacterized. The record is from RefSeq and is a predicted model, not a curated record. The transcript is spliced from 4 exons. NCBI's taxonomy places the organism in Eukaryota, Metazoa, Chordata, Mammalia, Rodentia, Dipodidae.
GGAAGCCAACACACAGAAAGGUGAAAUCACGCGUCUGUGGCACUAGGACGCCAGUGGAGAAGGUUGGACUUGCGCUCUAACAGUGGCAGAAUCAGGCUUCCCAGGCCUUGGCACCUUUGGCAUACUAGCUCUGGAUAACAAGCAGAAGUUGAGAAAUAGUCCUCAAAUGUGGCCCCACCUGCUCUGCUCUGCUUGCCUCCCACCCAGCCCAGCUCCCCACCGCAGGAAAGACCGCCUCAGGUCCUACGGCGCUCGCGAAUAAUGUGUGCGGCUGUUGGCAAGUCAACAUCCCUUCAAAGUGUGAGACACAUGGAUAAGGAUGGGUGAUUUGUGUGCAAAGAAGCGAUACGCAUCACUAGAAGCCGUUCUUUGAAUUUUGACGUGCAGUGUCUUUCAUGACGCUGGGCAGCAGCAGUGACCCCAUUUCCCAGUCAGCCACAGGAUCAUGAAGGCAGCCUGAAGACAUUUUGCACACUGGCAAGAUGAAAACCCUUGAUACUUGCCUCCUGGGGAUGGAAAGGCAGGAAGAGUUUGGAUUCUGUGAACCCUUAGAAGACGGUUCCGUAUGUGUCUCACGUUGCCACCAGCUGUUUGAGAUCAGCAAGGCCUCGUUUGCUCCUCUGGACGGGUCGCCAGACGGUAUGUGGCUGCUUGACGAAGCACAGGACGAGAACAGAAUGGCAGCAGCUGGGCACUUCUGU